RNAcentral lists this ribosomal RNA (440 nucleotides) under uncultured bacterium. Its description in RNAcentral is "partial 16S ribosomal RNA". It matches the Rfam family "Bacterial small subunit ribosomal RNA", at positions 338 to 795 of the family's 1533-position model. The record is from RNAcentral.
CCUACGGGUGGCAGCAGUAGGGAAUAUUGCACAAUGGGGGAAACCCUGAUGCAGCAACGCCGCGUGAGUGAAGAAGUUUUUCGGAAUGUAAAGCUCUAUUGUCAGGGAAGAAAAUGACAGUACCUAACUAAGAAGCCCCGGCUAACUACGUGCCAGCAGCCGCGGUAAUACGGAGGGGGCAAGCGUUAGCCGGAUUUACUGGGUGUAAAGGGAGCGUAGGCGGCUGAGUAAGUCAGAAGUGAAAGCCCGUGGCUCAACCGCGGGACUGCAUUUGAAACUGUGUAGCUAGAGUGCAGGAGAGGUAAGUGGAAUUCCUAGUGUAGCGGUGAAAUGCGUAGAUAUUAGGAGGAACACCGGUGGCGAAGGCGGCUUACUGGACUGUAACUGACGCUGAGGCUCGAAAGCGUGGGGAGCAAACAGGAUUAGAUACCCCUGUAGUC